AAUAAACAGCUUUCCACUCCAUCCUACUGGGGAUCUCUGGAAGACAGUGUGGUACCCAACUCUGCAUUGCCUACCAAAGGGCUAAGGCUCCUGUUCUUCAUUGACAGAGGGCUGCUCUCUACCCUGCCCCUCAUGUGGGCUGAACAUGCUCCUGCAGCCAGAGAAAGCGCUCAGACACAGUCCUGGUGUUCGAAGUAGAAACCAUUGGUCCACACGUGAUUGGAAAAGGAUUUGAGGCGUUGGGCUGACACAGUCAUGGGAGACUGACUCAUACUCGGUGCACAUAUUCAAACUCAUAUUUACAUUCACACGGCUGUUUCCACUUCUCCAGCCAAUGGAACUUCAUGAAUAAGAAUUUGUCUUCUCCUCCCAGGCAGGACUGGCUUGAGCAACAAGAGACGUGGAGGCUGGCUCUGGAGAGAGAGCCAAAGAAUGUUCAAACUACCACAAAUUACACUCAU
Non-coding RNA from Odocoileus virginianus texanus, 461 nucleotides. The record is from RefSeq and is a predicted model, not a curated record. NCBI's taxonomy places the organism in Eukaryota, Metazoa, Chordata, Mammalia, Artiodactyla, Cervidae.